This 298-nucleotide ribosomal RNA is filed under the name uncultured bacterium. Its description in RNAcentral is "partial 16S ribosomal RNA". It matches the Rfam family "Bacterial small subunit ribosomal RNA", at positions 333 to 627 of the family's 1533-position model. The record is from RNAcentral.
UUGUUCCUACGGGGGGCAGCAGUGAGGAAUAUUGGUCAAUGGCCGGAAGGCUGAACCAGCCAAGUCGCGUGAGGGAAUAAGGCCCUAUGGGUCGUAAACCUCUUUUGUCAGGGAGCAAAGGCGUCCACGUGUGGACGAGAGGAGAGUACCUGAAGAAAAAGCAUCGGCUAACUCCGUGCCAGCAGCCGCGGUAAUACGUAGGUGGCAAGCGUUAUCCGGAUUUAUUGGGCGUAAAGGGAACGCAGGCGGUCUUUUAAGUCUGAUGUGAAAGCCUUCGGCUUAACCGGAGUAGUUCCUU